UGAACGGUGAGUGGAUCAAAGCUCAGGCGGCAUAGGAUGGGCCUGCGGCGUAUCAGGUUGUAGGGGGUGUAAAGUACCCUCUAGCCAUCUACGCGUACGGGUGUUGGGAGACAUAGCCCGGAGAUGGAUUCUGAGACACGAAUCCAGACCCUACGGGGUGCAGCAGGCGCGAAAACUUGACAAUGCGAGCAAUCGUGAUCAGGGAACUCCAAGUGGCUGGGGUAAGACCCAGUCUUUUCAUAACUCUUCAAAGGUUGUAGAAUAAGGGGUGGGUAAGGACGGUGCCAGCCGCCGCGGUAAUACCGGCGCCUCAAGUGGUAGUCGCUUUUAUUGGGCCUAAAACGUCCGUAGCCGGUUUGGUACAUUCGUGGGUAAAUCAACUCGCUCAACGAGUUGAAUUCUGCGAGGACGGCCAAACUUGGGACCGGGAGAGGUGUGGGGUACUCUCAGGGUAGGGGUAAAAUCCUGUCAUCCUGAGAGGACCACCUGUUGCGAAGGCGCCACACUAGAACGGAUCCGACGGUCAGGGACGAAGCCUAGGGGCACGAACCGGAUUAGAUACCCGGGUAGUCCUAGGUGUAAACGCUGUGGACUUGAUGUUGGAGAAGCUCCGAGCUUCUUCAGUGUCGAAGCGAAGGUGAUAAGUCCACUGCCUGGGAAGUACGGUCGCAAGGCUGAAACUUAAAGGAAUUGGCGGGGGAGCACCGCAACCUGAGGAUUGUGCGGUUUAAUUGGACUCAACGCCGGGA
This 749-nucleotide ribosomal RNA is filed under the name uncultured Candidatus Poseidoniales archaeon. RNAcentral describes it as "bacterial SSU rRNA". It matches the Rfam family "Archaeal small subunit ribosomal RNA", at positions 172 to 923 of the family's 1478-position model. Lineage: Archaea; Methanobacteriati; Thermoplasmatota; Candidatus Poseidoniia; Candidatus Poseidoniales. The record is from RNAcentral.